Molecule: long non-coding RNA, 250 nt
Filed under: Brassica napus (rape)
Lineage: Eukaryota; Viridiplantae; Streptophyta; Magnoliopsida; Brassicales; Brassicaceae
Description: long non-coding RNA (BNAP_LNC010029)
Source: RNAcentral
UAUACAUGGUGUUGAAGAUGUGAAGGGGUUGAAGAAUUGGCGAAAAAUGGUUUGGGUUGACCAAAACCAUACAGUCCGUACAGGCCGUACGGUACGUACAUGUUUGGGUCGACCAAAACCUAACCAAAGGUGAAAAGUUCUUACCCGGGUCACUCGGCUGUGAAGAGAAGUUACCUUGUGAUUUCACACUUGGAUCAAGACCGUUGGUAAGGAGAUAAGACGUGGCUUGACAGGCUGAACCAGCUGGUAA